Dendronephthya gigantea is the source of this 245-nucleotide long non-coding RNA. RefSeq lists it as uncharacterized. The record is from RefSeq and is a predicted model, not a curated record. NCBI's taxonomy places the organism in Eukaryota, Metazoa, Cnidaria, Anthozoa, Malacalcyonacea, Nephtheidae. The transcript has 3 exons.
CUGAACAUGGUGCUCUAGAGAAUUGAGCAAGAUUCAAUCAGGCCACUGCACAUUUUUUUUUAUAAAUUCAGUAUGUGGAUGAAACGGUGCUCUUAGAGGUGCAGAUAAUAUAAAACACUGCAAAAAUCAUAGUGCUGGAUUUACAACGUACCUAUCACAACAUCUUGAUCAUCAACAAGCUUUCCCUGAUGAGCGGCGCACUUUUGGUGGUUAUUUUCUUCUACAGAAUUGAUCAAUAUACAAUU